This 845-nucleotide ribosomal RNA is filed under the name Lactiplantibacillus plantarum. Its description in RNAcentral is "bacterial SSU rRNA". It matches the Rfam family "Bacterial small subunit ribosomal RNA", at positions 63 to 876 of the family's 1533-position model. The record is from RNAcentral. Lineage: Bacteria; Bacillati; Bacillota; Bacilli; Lactobacillales; Lactobacillaceae.
CGAACUCUGGUAUUGAUUGGUGCUUGCAUCAUGAUUUACAUUUGAGUGAGUGGCGAACUGGUGAGUAACACGUGGGAAACCUGCCCAGAAGCGGGGGAUAACACCUGGAAACAGAUGCUAAUACCGCAUAACAACUUGGACCGCAUGGUCCGAGUUUGAAAGAUGGCUUCGGCUAUCACUUUUGGAUGGUCCCGCGGCGUAUUAGCUAGAUGGUGAGGUAACGGCUCACCAUGGCAAUGAUACGUAGCCGACCUGAGAGGGUAAUCGGCCACAUUGGGACUGAGACACGGCCCAAACUCAUACGGGAGGCAGCAGUAGGGAAUCUUCCACAAUGGACGAAAGUCUGAUGGAGCAACGCCGCGUGAGUGAAGAAGGGUUUCGGCUCGUAAAACUCUGUUGUUAAAGAAGAACAUAUCUGAGAGUAACUGUUCAGGUAUUGACGGUAUUUAACCAGAAAGCCACGGCUAACUACGUGCCAGCAGCCGCGGUAAUACGUAGGUGGCAAGCGUUGUCCGGAUUUAUUGGGCGUAAAGCGAGCGCAGGCGGUUUUUUAAGUCUGAUGUGAAAGCCUUCGGCUCAACCGAAGAAGUGCAUCGGAAACUGGGAAACUUGAGUGCAGAAGAGGACAGUGGAACUCCAUGUGUAGCGGUGAAAUGCGUAGAUAUAUGGAAGAACACCAGUGGCGAAGGCGGCUGUCUGGUCUGUAACUGACGCUGAGGCUCGAAAGUAUGGGUAGCAAACAGGAUUAGAUACCCUGGUAGUCCAUACCGUAAACGAUGAAUGCUAAGUGUUGGAGGGUUUCCGCCCUUCAGUGCUGCAGCUAACGCAUUAAGCAUUCCGCCUGG